Molecule: ribosomal RNA, 497 nt
Filed under: uncultured bacterium
Lineage: Bacteria
Description: partial 16S ribosomal RNA
Rfam family: Bacterial small subunit ribosomal RNA
Source: RNAcentral
GAUGAACGCUGGCGGCGUGCCUAAUACAUGCAAGUCGAGCGAACGGACGAGAAGCUUGCUUCUCUGGUGUUAGCGGCGGACGGGUGAGUAACACGUGGAUAACCUACCUAUAAGACUGGGAUAACUUCGGGAAACCGGAGCUAAUACCGGAUAAUAUUUUGAACCGCAUGGUUCAAAAGUGAAAGACGGUCUUGCUGUCACUUAUAGAUGGAUCCGCGCUGCAUUAGCUAGUUGGUAAGGUAACGGCUUACCAAGGCAACGAUGCAUAGCCGACCUGAGAGGGUGAUCGGCCACACUGGAACUGAGACACGGUCCAGACUCCUACGGGAGGCAGCAGUAGGGAAUCUUCCGCAAUGGGCGAAAGCCUGACGGAGCAACGCCGCGUGAGUGAUGAAGGUCUUCGGAUCGUAAAACUUUGUUAUUAGGGAAGAACAUAUGUGUAAGUAACUGUGCACAUCUUGACGGUACCUAAUCAGAAAGCCACGGCUAACUACGUG